RNAcentral lists this ribosomal RNA (253 nucleotides) under uncultured bacterium. RNAcentral describes it as "partial 16S ribosomal RNA". It matches the Rfam family "Bacterial small subunit ribosomal RNA", at positions 524 to 776 of the family's 1533-position model. The record is from RNAcentral.
UACAGAGGUCUCAAGCGUUGUUCGGAUUCACUGGGCGUAAAGGGCGCGUAGGCGGCUCAGUAAGGUUGCGGUGAAAGCCCGGGGCUCAACCCCGGGUCGGCCGUGGCAACUGCUGGGCUGGAGCACUGUAGAGGCAGGUGGAAUUCCGGGUGUAGCGGUGGAAUGCGUAGAGAUCCGGAAGAACACCGGUGGCGAAGGCGGCCUGCUGGGCAGUAGCUGACGCUGAGGCGCGACAGCGUGGGGAGCAAACAGG